This 242-nucleotide unclassified non-coding RNA is filed under the name uncultured Xylariales. RNAcentral's name for it is "sequence contains ITS1". Lineage: Eukaryota; Fungi; Ascomycota; Sordariomycetes; Xylariales. The record is from RNAcentral.
CUGAGUUAUUAAAACUCCAAACCCUUUGUGAACCUUACCGUCGUUGCCUCGGCGUGAGCUACGGCUACCCGGGAGCUACCCUGGAAGUACCCUAGAGUUACCCUAUAGCUACCCUGCAGCUACCCUAUAGUUACCCUGGAGCUACCCUGGAGCUACCCUGUAGCCGGCUUAUGGCCCGCCGAAGGACAGCUAAACUCUUGUUUUUACUACUGUUUCUCUGAAUUACAAACUGAAAUAAGUUA